RNAcentral lists this long non-coding RNA (521 nucleotides) under Anser brachyrhynchus (Pink-footed goose). RNAcentral's name for it is "lncRNA (ENSABRG00000016447.1)". The record is from RNAcentral. Lineage: Eukaryota; Metazoa; Chordata; Aves; Anseriformes; Anatidae.
CUUGGAGGAUCUGCCACAUGCUGUCUCCAGAUGAUGCUGUUUGGAAGGGUUGGCUCAGAGCAGCAAACUUUGUUCUUGCACCUGGAUGCGUGCACUGAUUGACAGAAAGGAGGAAGGCUGGCAGCACAGAUUUGGCAGCUCAACAAACAAAGCUCGUGUUCUGCAAAUAACGGCAAGUGGAUGCCCUCAUUCAGGAGGCAAGUUCAAGCGUGGCUGCUGUGGAGAGUGCGGCUGCUGAUCAAUUUUGUGACAUGAAGGAUGGUGGUGUCACGACCUGGCAGGAACAGACAGUGACCGCAGGAGACGGAAGAGGAGUGGAUCCAGAUGAGGAAAUAACCCACCGGAAAACAGAAGUGCCGAGAGACAUCAGCUGCGCCGUGCUAAUCGCAGCGCUCGUGGCUGGGCUCUCCUCAUCCGCUGCUUUUGUCACACAUCGCUUUGUACCGUUUUCCUGCAGUUUUGUCAGCCAGUUCUGGGGUAAAAGAGUUGUUCUACUCAUGGGGGCGAACUUGGCACUGUGA